ACCUUGCUUGGGCUGAUUGAGGACUGAGUGGAAGCUAAAGCAGGACCUGGAGCAGGGAUUGGAGUAGGAGAGGGCUCGGUUGCUAAUCUCUUUCUGCGCACACUGUCUUCCAACCCGCAAAUAGAUUUUCUCCUCUAUAGAAGCUUCAUUUUAGGAGCCAUUUGCACAAGAAGGACUUGUAUGGAGCUUUGGAGACUAAAUGUGAGG
This 207-nucleotide long non-coding RNA is filed under the name Elaeis guineensis (African oil palm). RNAcentral describes it as "long non-coding RNA (EGUI_LNC075845)". The record is from RNAcentral. Lineage: Eukaryota; Viridiplantae; Streptophyta; Magnoliopsida; Arecales; Arecaceae.